AGACACUUAACCCUAAGUGUCUCCAGGGGGACUGUCCCUAUAACUACUGAUUGUAAGCCGCUCUGGAUAAGGGCUGUAAAUAUAAAUGCAGCUUGUGUGCAAAGAUUCUUCGUUCUUAUCUGCUUCCUGCAGGGCAUCGAUGCAGGUACUGGAAGUAUUGCUCAGCCUGCGUUUCCCAGUCCAGGGAUGUACCAGCUGGACAUUGUGCUGAAAAGAGGACACAAUCUGGCAAUAAGAGACAGAGGAGGAACAAGUGAUCCAUAUGUCAAGUUUAAGGUCUCAGGUAAAGAAUUUUAUCGCAGCAAAAUCAUUUACAAGAACCUCAACCCAGUGUGGGACGAAAAGGUCCGACUCCUAGUUGACAGCCUUUAUGAACCCCUCUAUUUGAAGGUGUUUGACUAUGACUUUGGGCCUCAUGAUGACUUCAUUGGAUCUGCUCACCUCUACCUUGAAUCUCUAGAAGCUCUGAACUUAAUGCUUGACCUGAAGGACCCUAAUCUCCCACAGGAGGCCCUGGGUUCCCUUGAGCUAUCUAUCACAGUGACUCCUAAAGACAUUGAUGACAGCGAGGCUGUGAGUGGCUCUCAUCAACAGCAGCAGAUCCUUCGACUGUCAGACAUACACAGGAAGCCUCAACUGUUGAGUGGGAUAGUGAGCAUCAGUCUCAUUGAGGGUCAUGACCUCACACCCAUGGAUGAAAAUGGACUCAGUGAUCCUUAUGUGAAGUUCAAGCUUGGACAACAGAAGUAUAGGAGCAAGACAAUUUUCAAAACUCUAAACCCACAGUGGAGGGAGCACUUUGACCUGCAUAUGUAUGAAGAUGAGGGGAAGAUCCUAGACAUAUCACUGUGGGACAGAGACACAGGGAGAAGAGACGACUUCAUUGGCCAAUGCCAAGUAGACCUGUCCACGCUAAGUAAGGAGGUCACACAUAAGCUAGAUCUCCCUCUAGAGGAGGGCCAGGGUACACUGGUGCUGCUGGUGACCCUGACCGCAACCACGGCUGUUGCUGUCUCAGACCUCACCGUCAACAAUUUGGAUGACCCUGAUGAGCGGCAACAGAUUCUGAAGAGAUAUAAUCUUCUCAGGUCUUUUCUUAACCUGAAGGACGUCGGUUUUGUUCAGAUCAAGGUCAUACGAGCGGAGGGACUGCUGGCAGCUGAUGUCACAGGAAAGAGCGACCCGUUCUGCGUGGUGGAGCUGUGCAACGAUCGGCUGAAGACACACACGGUCUACAAGAACCUCAGUCCGGAGUGGAAUAAAGUCUUCACCUUCAACAUUAAAGACAUCAACGCUGUGCUUGAGGUGACUGUGUACGACGAGGACCGGGACCGAAGUGCAGAUUUCCUGGGCAAAGUGGCCAUUCCUUUACUACAAAUUCACAACGGCGAACAGAAGGCCUACGUCUUGAAAAACAAGGAGCUGACAGGGCCAACAAAGGGGGUCAUCUUCCUCGAAACAGACGUCAUUUUCAAUGUGGUGAAGGCUAGCCUGAGGACCUUGAAGCCACUAGAACAGAAAUACAUUGAAGAUGAGCAGAAAGUCUCCAAACAGCUGUUGCAGCACCACUUUGCCCGGGCAAAGUGCUGCAUCAUGCUCCUAAUUAACAUGGGCUCCUACAUCAACAGCUGCUUCAAGUGGGAAUCUCCUCUGAGAAGUAUUUGUGCCUUUCUGAUCUUUGUUGUGGUUGUGUGGAACUUUGAAAUCUACAUGAUCCCACUCUCUUUACUGCUGCUCCUGGCAUGGAACUACCUCCUGCUGGCUUCUGGGUGGAAGUCCUCUGAGGGUGAUGUGGUGAGUAGUUUUACCCUUUUGUAUGAAUCUGAGAAAAAAGGUUUAAUGGAAAGGUUGCAUGCCCUUCAGGACGUGUGCAUCACCAUUCAGAAUGGCUUGGACCAGAUCGCUUCCACCAGCGAGAGGAUAAAGAACGUUUUCAACUGGACCGUGCCUUUUCUCAGCUGGCUGGCCAUCACACUGCUGUGUGCGGCCACUGUGCUGAUCUACUUCAUCCCCAUCAGAUACCUUGUGUUGGCCUGGGGUAUCAAUAAAUUCUCCAAGAAGUUGCGUAGCCCCACUGAGAUAGACAACAACGAACUGCUAGACUUCCUCUCCAGGGUGCCAUCAGACAUGCAAGUGAUUCAGUACAGAGAGCUGAAACUGGACCAGAGUUCAAACAAGCGGCGACGAAAUAACCCAGGCUAGCCUCUGACCUUGCAGUUUUUUUUACUUUCAAUGUUCAGUACAAUGCUUCAUGAGCAAAAUGUAAUGUAAACAACACUGUAAAUGAUGUAAAGAUUUUAUGUGGUGUAUCGGUAGUACAGUCGUGGGCAAAUGUUUUGAGAAUAACACAAAUACUGGUUUUCACAAAGUUUGCUGUUUCAAUGUUUUAGAUAUUUUUGUCAGUUGUUUCUGUGGUGUAUCGAAGUAUAAUGUCAAGCAUUUUAUAAGUUUCAAUGGGUUUUAUUGACAAUUACAUCAAAGAGUCAAUAUUUCCUGGCCAUUGACCCAAAUUUUCAAUGUUUUGUUUAGUUAUCAUUUUGGCCUUAUGGCACAGUGCUCCAUCAUGCUGGAAAAGGCAUUGUUCUUCACCAAACUAUUCUCGGACCAAACUGUUGUACCAUUUUCUUGUUCUUUUUGUACCAUUCUUUAUUCAUGGCCGUGUCCCUUGGAUGAGAAGCAGCACCACACAUGAAUGGUCUCAGGAUGCUUUACUGUUGGCACAAGACAGGACUGAUGGUAGCGCUCACCUUUUCAUCUCCAGACAGUAAUUUUUCCAGAUGCCCCAAACAAUCAGAAAGGGGCUUCAUCAGAGAAAAUGACUUUACCCCAGUUCUCAGCAGUCCAAUCCCUGUACGUUUUGCAAAAUAGAAGUCUGUCCUUGACAUUUUUAUUGGAGAAAUGUGGCUUCUUUACUGCCCUUCUUGACACCAUGCCAUUCUCCAGUAGUUUUCGCCUCACUGUGUGUGCAGAUGCAGAUGACUGCUGCCAUUCCUGAUCAAGGUCUGAACUGAUGGUACCCUGAUCCCACAACUGAAUAAUCUUUAGGAGACGGUCCUUGCUGGACUUUCUUGGGCAACACUUGAACCUCUCUCCUUGAAGUUGAUGAUCCAAUAAAUGGUUGGUUUAGGUGCA
Molecule: long non-coding RNA, 3132 nt
Organism: Denticeps clupeoides (denticle herring)
Lineage: Eukaryota; Metazoa; Chordata; Actinopteri; Clupeiformes; Denticipitidae
Source: Ensembl